ACGAUCGCAAGGUUGAAACUCAAAGGAAUUGACGGGGGCCCGCACAAGCAGUGGAGCAUGUGGUUUAAUUCGAUGCAACGCGAAGAACCUUACCUAGGCUUGAAAAGCAAGUGACCGUCUGUGAAAGCAGAUUUCCCGCAAGGGCACUUGUACAGGUGCUGCAUGGCUGUCGUCAGCUCGUGCCGUGAGGUGUUGGGUUAAGUCUCGCAACGAGCGCAACCCCUACCAUUAGUUGCCAUCAGGUUAUGCUGGGCACUCUAAUGGGACUGCCUACGCAAGUAGUGAGGAAGGUGGGGAUGACGUCAAGUCAGCAUGGCCCUUACGUCUAGGGCUACACACGUGCUACAAUGGGUGUUACAACGGGUUGCUAAGCCGCGAGGCUGUGCUAAUCCCUUAAAGGCACCCUCAGUUCGGAUUGCAGUCUGAAACUCGACUGCAUGAAGCUGGAAUUGCUAGUAAUCGCGCAUCAGCACGGCGCGGUGAAUACGUUCCCGGGCCUUGUACACACCGCCCGUCAAGCCAUGGAAGCCGGGGGUACCCAAAGCCAGUGACCUAACCGCAAGGGAGGAGCUGUCUAAGGUAAAACCGGUGACUGGGGCU
This 600-nucleotide ribosomal RNA is filed under the name uncultured bacterium. Its description in RNAcentral is "bacterial SSU rRNA". It matches the Rfam family "Bacterial small subunit ribosomal RNA", at positions 882 to 1482 of the family's 1533-position model. The record is from RNAcentral.